GGUCUGCGUACAUACUACCCUCCCCAGACCCCACUGGUGGGAUUAUACUGGGAUGUUGUUGUUGUUGUUGUUGUAGUGAUUAAAAUUUUCCUUUUCGCUUGUCGGGUUAUGUCGUGUCCAAAUUGGAGAAAUUUGAGUUCGAUAUUAAAGUCACGAGAUAAUUUUUCUUCAUUUCAUUUUUUUGGGUGGUAGAAUUGUGAUAGAUAUAAAUCGACUAUUUGUGCCUCUUUUGGUGCUGGCCAUGAGCCAAACAAAUAUGAGUGAUUUAGAAAGAGCACAAAUCUUAGUGUGCGAUUUCUGUUUGACAUCACCAUUUGAUUUUCAUAUAAAGGUAAAUUUAGGGAAAAUAAAAGCUGCAACGUUGUAUCGACAAGUCGUUAAAAUUGGUGAUAAGACUUUUAUAGUCAUGUGUAGUAGAAUUAACGUUUGAAUUCGGAUGAUUUUCAAAUAUUCAUGCAUUCAACUUGAUUCUAUUUUUUAUUGUUUGGACUAUCGUUGCCUUGGUAUUCUUAUCCAUUCAGUAAAAGCAAAUCACAAUUUAUCCUUUGAUCAAGCUUUUCAAUUCAGCAAUAUAUGCUAGAUCUUUUUGUGUCAUAUGUUUUACUGCAAAAUAUUAGAAAAUGGAAGUGUUAUGAUAAGUAAAUCGAUAACUCUUUAUAGUUCGAAUACGAUAGUCGUGAUUGAUAAAGGCUACUUGUACAUGUUCUGAAUAAUGAACUGUUUGCUACAUAUUUCCAUUGAAGGAGUUCUGGUGUAUGUUCUGCAUAUGAAAUUGCACAAUUGUAUCAUUAUAUUUCUUGCUCAAACGCACUGGAACAAUAGAGAUUCAUUUUGAAUCAAGAAACGAUAAGUGUUCCUGGAAAAGACAGGGUAAGAGUAAUAUCCCCAGUUGGUACUUAUGAAGGCAAGCAAGUCAAGGUAAAUAAAUUCAAUGCAGAAUUUAGAAGGUAAACCUACUUGGCUCCACUUUGUCACAAGCAUGUUGAAGGUCAGAAGUUCAGGGGAAUCUUUCUCUUAUAUUUUUCCUUUUUUCUGGAUUGUGUAGUAUUUAUAAGAAUGAGACACAAUCGAAGUCUAAUAAUAAUAGUAAUAGUGAUAGCAGGUUUUAAGUCUAUUACCAAAGUAGGAAGUGAAGGAAUCAAGAACCAAAUGGAGGACAUUCAGGAGAUAAAGGAUGGGAGAGGAAGAUGACAAAUGAAGAGAGAAUGUUGUGUAUGUGGGUCCUGAAUUCAGAUCCCUUCUUCUGUACAUUUUUAUUAUCUAUUUGGCAGCAUCUUUUAUUUUUACUUUUUCUUUUUUGGUUUUGUCUUCCUUAUUUUCUUUUAUUGUGCUUUUUGGAAUUAGCUUAAACUUGUUAAUACUAAACCAAUGUUAUUUCUUGUGAUCAUAUCUUCAGCGCUUGAGUGCUCAUUCAAAGUAAGUUUUUGAACAUUCUAUGUGAUUUUCAAUUGGUUCGAAUGUUGGAUUGUGGUUUUCAAUUAAUUACCUUUUAAUUACUCAAUUACUAGCUCUUCUAAGAAAUUUUGUGAUCCAAAAACUAAUGUCAAUCAAGUUAUGUAGAAUUAAUUGUUAUAUAGUUGAUAUGCUUAAUUGCUUCUGGUGGAUCAAACAGCCGGCGUUUCUUACAACAAAUCAUGGUGGAAAUAUAAUGGGCAAUGUCGCAUUGUAAAUGUCAAACUGCUUACGGUUAGCAUGUAUGCCUAAUCAUUUGUGAGCUGCAGAAAAGAAUGCCAUGUGCUACAUAGCUCUUGCACUCCAUAUCAUUCGAGAAAGAAAAACUUGAUUGUUUUGGUAGUCAUUCUCCAUUCAGUGCAUGUUCGGGUAUAAAGAGUAAACAAUCUCUACUUUUAAUGUACCAUUAUCUGCUUACCUGAAAGCUCUACAUUGUACUUCUCCUCUGUUUUUUCUUGGAGCACCUAAUUGAGAGUACCAAAUCUGACAAGUCAGAUAUCUACAUGCCAGUGAAUAGAAGUGAGAAAACUCCAUUUAAUUUAUGCAGAGAUGAUAUGUUUACUACAUUACUUCAAUUUGAUUCCUUGCACAAGCUUAAUGGUUAUGUGAAAAUUAACAUGAUUGCUUGAUUAGCUUCUGAUUGUCACAUGAAUAUCAUUUAUAUUAGGGGCUAAAUUCUAUUUCUAGCAUAUUUCUAACUUUUGCUAAUUUACUGCUUUGAAAGGGAUGGCUAAGGAGGAUCCGGUGAAACCUGGUGAAACUCGUGAUUGAAAACUAACUUUAUGCAAAUGACCUACUCAUAUAUUCUAAUCAUGUUGGUUGCUGAAUUGAUUAUGCUUUGAGCUCCCUCUAAAUUACUUUCUUGAAUUUACAUAUAAAGUUUAAACGAAAAAUUUAGCUGAUUGCAAGAUAAAGAUAGCUUUAAAUCCACUAAUUUAUUGUUGCUUACCUCAUCAUUAAUUAUUUAGAAUAGUGUCCUAUCGGUGUAACUUCUAUUGUUGGAGGUAUUCUACAUAUGACUUUAUGUUGCCAUUAUUAAGAAUAACAUUUGACCUAAUUUUAUAUUACCAAUAUGAUCAUGAAAUAGAGGUAAAUGGUAACUUCUAUAAUGUGAAGUAUGAUGAAGGAAGGUCUAUUGAAUUUUUCACUAUUGUCGAUGCCAGAUAAAUAUUAAAUGGAGAUUUGGACGGUUAUGGCUCUUGUUUGCCAUAUAAUUUUAUUCGUUCAAUAUCUUGGCUCUAGCUUCUUUCAUUCAUGAUUUCUUUUCUGUUAACCUGAGUUUUAGCUGAGCAUUUUCCUAUUAUUACUGAUUUCUGCAACAGUCUCAAGCACAUUUGAAUUGGCACAUUUACUGGUUUCUCCUCCGCAUGUACUUUCCCUCUCUUUUUUACUGUUCCUAUUUUAUAUUUAUUUGGGGUCUUCUGAGUUAGAUUUCAUUACUGAAUCUCUGUUUGUUUGGUGAUUGAGCUACUAAGAUUAGUUCUGUUCCAGUUUCAUAUUGGCACUGAUGUGCCAGCAGACACCAUUUUUGCUUUAUUUUAACUUUCAUAUUUGUAUAUUUCCUAUGCGCUAAUUUCAUUCGAGAAAGAAAGAUUUGAUCGAGUCGGUAUUCAUUCUCCAUUGUGUGCAGGUUGGACAUAUAAAGAGCAACGAAUCUCCACAUUUGAUGUGCCAUCAUCUGCUUGUCUAAAAGCACUACGUUGUACUUCUUUUUUUUUUUUUUUUUUUGAAGCACUUAAUUGAGAACACUAAAACUGACAUCUCAGAAGAUAGGUACAUGCCAAGGAAUGCAAGUGAGAAGGUUAUAAAAAAGGAAUGCAAGUGAGAAAACAUCAUUUAAUUUCUCUGAAGAUGAUGUUCACCACAUUACUCAAUUUGAUUCCUUGCACAAACUUAACGUGAUGUUAAAAUCAACAUGCUUUUUGCUUAGCAUCUGAUUAUCACAGAAAUAUCAACAUGCUCUUUCUAGCAUAUCUCUUACGUUCAGUGAUUGGUGACUGUGCUAACUUCUUUUUGAUUAAUCUUUCUCCCUUCUCCGGGUAAUGGACUUAACUUGAUUGAUAAAGCUGCUCAUUGUUCUUGUUGUUUGCCCUUUUUAUUAGUUUAUACUUCUGCAGGAGACCUCUUGAUUACUUAACAUCUUUAGGGAACCAUAGAUUUACUAAAGUUGUAAACAUUCUUCCAUCUGCUCAACCAGUUCAAGGUUGUUAAGAUUCUUAAAAUGAAACAACAAUAAUUGAAAUAGUAUUAACACACAACUGAAUUAUUCUAUUUGUCUGGUUUUAUAAUAUUGUUGAGUUCUUGAUGCUUAUAUGUCUGCAUUAGACUGAUUUGUUUCAUUUAUAUUGCAGUUACUUAUAUAUACUAUUGAUUUGUGAUACAGGAAUUGCUGCCUAGGAAGAUUACUUUGUGGAAGUUAAAGGAUAUAAAUUGCUUAAUAUAGUGUUGAUUGAUUAGCUUGAAGAUGUAAUUCCUCCUGAAAUAAUGUGCCUGAGCAAGUGUGUGGCGAAUGUCAUUUUGCAUGGCUAUCCUCGGGGUGCAAUUUGAAGAAGGAAGCAACUAUCAUUGUGCUUGUGAAAUACCGAUAAACCUAUUUCACUAUGUAUUUGUGAAAUCAUAGCUAUUGUAUUAGGUAUUUAUUGUUAUAUAUGUUGUCUAUCGCCAUUUGGCAGUUAUUUACAUGCAUAUAUUUUUGUUA
Molecule: non-coding RNA, 4150 nt
Organism: Nicotiana tabacum (common tobacco)
Lineage: Eukaryota; Viridiplantae; Streptophyta; Magnoliopsida; Solanales; Solanaceae
Source: RefSeq, a predicted model, not a curated record